Asparagus officinalis (garden asparagus) is the source of this 3180-nucleotide long non-coding RNA. RefSeq lists it as uncharacterized. The record is from RefSeq and is a predicted model, not a curated record. The transcript has 5 exons. Lineage: Eukaryota; Viridiplantae; Streptophyta; Magnoliopsida; Asparagales; Asparagaceae.
UAUAAACCAGUACUCUCUCUAUCUCCUCAUCUUCCCCUUUUCAACUCAGCCCUAAAUUAAAAAACAAAAAUCCCUGUUCAUUCAAAAAUCAAAAGCCCCAAUUCCAUCGUCCGCCGUUGUCGCUGUCACCCGCCGCCGUCGCCCUCAUUUGUUGCCGUCGUCCUUCACUCGUUGCCGUCACCGUUGCCCUCGACCUCGACAUCGCCCGUUGCCAUCGUCCUCGACCUUGACCUCGACUGGGAACUUGGAUUUUUCUCUUGUAUUUUGGACUCCGUCGCCGUUGCCCGCUACUGUCCCAGUAGCUGUCGCCUUUCGCCAUAGUAGUCGCCGUUGCCCUAGACCUCGACAUCGCCCGUUGCCGUUGUCCUCGACCUCGACUGGGAACUUGGAUUGUCGUCCAUUGUUUAUUUACAGCUGUAAAUGCAAAAAAUCGUACAUAUGGAUUUAGUGAGAAUUCUAUCCAACGUCGGCUACUUUCGGAACCUUAUUCAAAAUCGUAUUUCUGCUAUAUUAUUGGAGGAUCAACAUCCCUUCGAGAUACUCCAUUCUACGGUUACUUAGAUGUUCCAGAUGUUCCAAUGCAACCACCUCUAGUUGAUUGUUUGUUGGAAGUAUUUAAUGUUGAAAAAAGUAGUUUUAAAAUUGGAGGAAAAUGGAUCUCCUUUGGGGUUGAAGAUGUUGGUAGAAUUACGGAUCUUCCGAUGGGAGGAUCUAUUAUAGAUACGAAGUUUCAUAGAAGUGACCGCUAUACAAUAUACAAGCUUAUGCUUUCAUAUAGGUCUAAGGCUGAAAUUGAAGAGGAUACAAAGCGUAGCACUAGAAGAGGAAAGAAGAAAAGUGAUGAGGGUAAGAAGAAGAUUAUGUGUGCUAGAAGGGAUAGGAUGAGUGAACUUAUCGAGGAGAUGGCCGAGCGUAGAUAUCCUCUUUUGUCACAAAUGCUCGUGGCUUUCAUUAUAGGCUUUAUAUUAUCUCUCAAGCUAGUAUGAGUUGUCCCUUGUUUGCAUUUAAAUAUGCUGAGAGAUUGAAAACUCUUAAGAUUAUAAUUAGGCUGAAUUAGUAUAUAAUAUGUUGCAUACUAAGAUGAAUAAGGCUAAAAAACCAUCAUGAAGAGGUUUGAGGGAAAUCGAUCUAGAGGUAGUCAUAAAGGGGGUUUUGCAUCGGUUUUGAUGGUAAGUUAACCUUUUAUAUAUUUAUGUCAUUCUCCAUUGCAUAUUUUUAUGUCAUUUAGUCAUGAUUAUUGUUGAGCUAAAAUUUUUAUCUUUUUCACAGAUUUGAUUUUAUGAGCUUGUGGGAAAGUUAAGCCUUUGCGUAGGAGGUGAAUCCCUACCACUCAUCAUAAUCUUCUACAAGUGUCUGAGGUCUUUACAGAGGAAUGCAAUGCAAGUUUUAGUUAGAGACCCGGAUAAUUUUAGGAAGCAUAAUAAUGACUCGAUAGCUCUAAAAUUUGAAAAGAGGAUUGCUGAAGCUACCACUGCCACUAAAUCUUCCCCUACAAAAUUCAAGAGAAAGGUAAUUACUGAAGCUGAUUUGGAUCAGCUCAUACAUGAAAAAAGAGUGGAAUUAGAUAUUCUCUUGAAGAUGAAGAGGGAUAUAUUUGGUGAAAAGCAACAGGAUGUUGAUAGUGAUGGAGGAGAUGAAGAUAACGGGAAUAAUGGGGGUGAUAGUGAUGAAGAUGAGGAGGAUGAUGAGAAUGAGGAAGAUGAGGAGGGGGAUGAUGAGGGGAAUGAGGAGGGGGUGGUGGAGAUAUGGAUGAGGAUGUUGGUAGAGAUGCGGAGGUUGGUGGAGAUGCGAAGGAUGGGGGUGAUGAAGAUGUUAAUACAUUGAAUGUAGAUAAAAAUGAUUGUGGAGAUGGUGCUAAUGACAAAGUGGGCAUGAAUUCAAUGGAAGUGGAUGACGAUGCCUUUGUUCUUAGCCCGCGUGAUAUUGUGUUGAUUGAAGGCAUGCGUAAAACCCCUUCUAUCAAAAGAACAGCUCUAUCAAGAUCUCGGCUUGCUAGCCCAUAUAUGGGUUUGCCCUUUGUCCCACUUGUUAAUCGAAAAGGAGUAUCAAACUAUCUAGGAAUGAAGGAAGUAAUGGAUGACGAGAGAGAACUACUUGAUAGUUUUUGGAAGGAAAAAAAAUAUGACCACGUAAGUGUCUUCUCAACGAUCUAUUUUUUAACUUUUAUAGUGUUUUCAUUAACACAUGUAAUAAGUUUUUUCAUAUAUAGUGAGACGUUAGUGUGGUCAUCUAGUGAUGCUUUAUUAACACGCAAGGAUGCAUUGGAAUUACUUAAAGGAGAGGUAAUUAGAUGCGACGUAAGUACACAUUCUUUUCAUGCUUCACACAAUGCACGUGUAGUAUAUUAUGUACAUUUCAGCUUAUAGCCUCCUAUGUUGUGCUUCUAAAUAUGUUGAUGGAGAUGCGUCCAACAUAUGCAAAAGACAUACACAUCUGUAGUCCAUGGGUAAUUAUAAGUAGAAAUCCGAUUCGAGAUUAUAAUUAUUAUUCAUAUAUUAUAUUGAAUACUAAUUCUUAACUUUCUUUGUUUUUUAUAGAGACGCAUCAACGGAAAUAGUCCGUCAAGUGUAGAACGCAUGUUUAAACCAAUAACAACUACACGUUUCCUAAAUAUUGAUAAGAUUAUUUUCCCACUUCUAACUUCAUCUUAUUGGCAUAUGUUGGUAUUAUCUGUAAAUGAUCAAAAGUUUUAUCAUUACUCUUCUCUCCGCGGAUACAUGUCUGAUGCUGUUGAUUUUAGAGUGAAGCUUAUUUCUACCAUUUCCGAUGAUUGGAAUUUGGAUAUUACAUCUUGUCAUGAGAUAGAAAGUGUUGAUGUACCUCAACAACGUGGUAGCUUGGAUUGCGGGGUGUUCUUGAUGUCAUACAUGUUCAGCCUCAUUUCCGGUCAACCAAUUUUAAUUGAUCAAAAGAAUUGUGCAAGACAUAGAGUUCGUCUCGUUGCUCUAUUUCUAUCUAAAUGAUAUAAAUGUGAUCAUCAAGCUAAUUUCACCAUAUGCUAGUUGCCAUCUGAGAUAUGCAAAUUUUGUGUGAUGUGUAAAUAUAUGUUUCGAGUAUGUAAAUAGAUAAUCUGAAAGUCUUUUGAGUGCUAUUUUGUGUGUAUAAAUAUAUGUUUGGAGUUUGAUUUUGUAAAGUAUUGUUCUUAGUUUUUUAGAUUGAAAGUAGAUAAUGAAAGUUAUG